CCUACGGGCGGCAGCAGUAGGGAAUAUUGCUCAAUGGGGGAAACCCUGAAGCAGCAACGCCGCGUGGAGGAUGAAGGUUUUCGGAUUGUAAACUCCUUUUGUUAGAGAAGAAAAUGACGGUAUCUAACGAAUAAGCACCGGCUAACUACGUGCCAGCAGCCGCGGUAAUACGGAGGGUGCAAGCGUUACUCGGAUUUACUGGGCGUAAAGAGAGCGUAGGCGGGAUAGCAAGUCAGAUGUGAAAUCCUAUGGCUUAACCAUAGAACUGCAUUUGAAACUGUUAUUCUAGAGUAUAGGAGAGGUAGGUGGAAUUCUUGGUGUAGGGGUGAAAUGCGUAGAGAUCAAGAGGAAUACUCAUGGCGAAGGCGACCUGCUAGAACAUAACUGACGCUGAUGCGCGAAAGCGUGGGGAGCAAACAGGAUUAGAUACCCUUGUAGUC
Molecule: ribosomal RNA, 440 nt
Filed under: uncultured bacterium
Lineage: Bacteria
Description: partial 16S ribosomal RNA
Rfam family: Bacterial small subunit ribosomal RNA
Source: RNAcentral